UCCUGAGGCUUCUAGUUCUUUGUCUUUGGCGCUGCCACUUUUAACGAAAAAAGCCCCGAUUACUGCGCUCCAAACCAAAAUUCUUUUACUUCCUCUCAUAAAUUCUCAGACGAGAGAGGACCCUUCUUCUCCAACUCCUCCACUUCCUCGGACCUCACUUCUUUUGUUCAAAUUUUCUCUUCAAAGUCGCCUUCUUUCGGUGUUUCAACUUCCCAAUUCACCAGUUCAUGAAUUCUCGCAUCAUUCGGGAGACUCCGAGAGGGACAGGAUCACCUUGACAGAGUUGAUCAUUGAGCAUAAGUUCAAAUUUAUAGGUGUGGGACCUGUGGUAUUGUUGGUGAAUUAGGGCGUUAUCAAGCUACUUGUUGAUCUAGAUUAAGAUUAUAACAGGGAACACAUUUGAAAUUGCUUUGUUCUGCCUCAAGAAAAGAAGUUUCAAGUUCUGAAAAAGCAUAUAAUAUUAGCUUGAAGUUGAUAUUUGCAGGCUCCUAUAAAAAAGCGCUGAAAUAUGACCUUAUAAAUGAGGGGAGAGUUCGAUCCUUUAAUCCAUACUUGUAAGAGAUUAAUAUCUGAUCAUUUGAACGAUGUUCAUUUUCACAUGUAAUCAUGUUGGAUAGUGACGAAAAUGUUGAUAUUACUAAAGAUCGAAGGUAGUCACGAGAUGAGGAAAAA
Non-coding RNA from Momordica charantia (bitter melon), 672 nucleotides. The record is from RefSeq and is a predicted model, not a curated record. NCBI's taxonomy places the organism in Eukaryota, Viridiplantae, Streptophyta, Magnoliopsida, Cucurbitales, Cucurbitaceae.